AUGGAACUUUGGGAUUGGUAAUAAA
RNAcentral lists this non-coding RNA (25 nucleotides) under Cricetulus griseus (Chinese hamster). The record is from RNAcentral. Lineage: Eukaryota; Metazoa; Chordata; Mammalia; Rodentia; Cricetidae.